GGCUACCACUUACAGAUGGNCCNGCGGCGCAUUAGCUAGUUGGUGAGGUAACGGNUCACCAAGGCAACNAUGCGUAGCCGACCUGAGAGGGUGAUCGGNCACACUGGGACUGAGACACGGCCCAUACUCCUACGGGAGGCAGCAGUNGGGAAUCUUCCGCAAUGGACNAAAGUCUGACGGAGCAACGCCGUGUGAGUGAUGAAGGUUUUCGGAUCGUAAAGCUCUGUUGUUAGGGAAGAACAAGUACCGUUCGAAUAGGGCGGUACCUUGACGGUACCUAACCAGAAAGNCACNGCUAACUACGUGCCAGCAGCCGCGGUAAUACGUANGUGGCAAGCGUUGUCCGGAAUUAUUGGGCGUAAAGGGCUCGCAGGCGGUUUCUUAAGUCUGAUGUGAAACCCCCGGCUCAACCGGGGAGGGUCAUUGGAAACUGGGGAACUUGAGUGCAGAAGANGAAAGUGGAAUUCCACGUGUACGGUGAAAUGCNUAGAGAUGUGGAGGACACCAAUGGCGAAGGCGACUCUUUGGU
Molecule: ribosomal RNA, 529 nt
Filed under: uncultured Bacilli bacterium
Lineage: Bacteria; Bacillati; Bacillota; Bacilli
Description: partial 16S ribosomal RNA
Rfam family: Bacterial small subunit ribosomal RNA
Source: RNAcentral